RNAcentral lists this ribosomal RNA (253 nucleotides) under uncultured prokaryote. RNAcentral describes it as "partial 16S ribosomal RNA". It matches the Rfam family "Bacterial small subunit ribosomal RNA", at positions 524 to 776 of the family's 1533-position model. The record is from RNAcentral.
GACGAACCGUCCAAACGUUGUUCGGAAUCACUGGGCUUAAAGGGCGCGUAGGCGGGUCGGCAAGUCCGGGGUGAAAGCCCCCAGCUCAACUGGGGAAGUGCCUUGGAAACUGCCGGUCUCGAGGGAGGUAGGGGCCUGUGGAACUUCGGGUGGAGCGGUGAAAUGCGUUGAUAUCCGAAGGAACGCCGGUGGCGAAAGCGACGGGCUGGAUCUCUUCUGACGCUGAGGCGCGAAAGCUAGGGUAGCGAACGGG